ACCUAGUUUUUUUAACUAAAAGUUGAGAAGGCUAGGGAACACCAUUUAUUUCAUAUUAAGAUGGAAGACAAGAAAUGCUGUGGUUGCAAAACCGAAACAGCUAACUGCAGUAAAUGCAACUGUGGCGGUUGCAAAUGCUGCCAAAAAUAAGGCGAAAUUUCUCUAAAUUUCGUUUUAGAUAAAAAGCCAGUCGUAAGACUGGUUUUUUAUU
This 211-nucleotide non-coding RNA is filed under the name Mycoplasmoides pneumoniae. The record is from RNAcentral. RNAcentral also lists the same sequence under 2 other names. Lineage: Bacteria; Bacillati; Mycoplasmatota; Mycoplasmoidales; Mycoplasmoidaceae.